GAUGAACGCUGGCGGCGUGCCUAAUACAUGCAAGUCGAGCGAACAGACGAGGAGCUUGCUCCUUUGACGUUAGCGGCGGACGGGUGAGUAACACGUAUAUCACCUACCUAUAAUACUGGUAUAACUUCGGGAAACCGGAGCUAAUACCUGAUAAUAUUUCGAACCGCAUGGUUCGAUAGUGAAAGAUGGCUUUGCUAGCACUUCUCGAUGGACCUCCGCGGUAUUAGCUAGUUGGUACGUUAACGGCCUAUCACGGCAACGAUACGUAGCCGAACUGACAGGGGGAUAGGCGGCACUGGAGCUGAGACGCGGACCAGGGUACUACGGGACGCAGCAGUAGGGAAUCGGCCGCAGUGGGCGAAAGCAUGACGGAGCAACGCCGCGUGAGAGAUGAAGGUCUUCGGAUCGUAAAGCUCGGUUAUUAGGGAAGAACAGACGUGGAAGGAAAUGUGCACGGCUUGACGGUACCUAAUCAGGAAGCCACGGCUAACUACGUG
RNAcentral lists this ribosomal RNA (497 nucleotides) under uncultured bacterium. Its description in RNAcentral is "partial 16S ribosomal RNA". It matches the Rfam family "Bacterial small subunit ribosomal RNA", at positions 28 to 507 of the family's 1533-position model. The record is from RNAcentral.